Brassica napus (rape) is the source of this 2820-nucleotide long non-coding RNA. RefSeq lists it as uncharacterized. The record is from RefSeq and is a predicted model, not a curated record. The transcript is spliced from 3 exons. Lineage: Eukaryota; Viridiplantae; Streptophyta; Magnoliopsida; Brassicales; Brassicaceae.
CUAAAGUUUGUUCUCUUUCAUUAAUACUCUAUUCUACAUGUCAUGGUGCUCACCAAUAUUUGAUUUUAUGAUACAAUUAAUCAACGAGGUAGAAUGCAGAUACAUUUUUUUUGAUAUAAAAGCACCAAAAGUUGUACAUGUUAAGGCUCUUUGAAAUAUGGAGACAAUUUGGUUACAAAUCUUUCUUUUUAAUUGUACUUGUGAGAAUCAUCAGGCCUUCCAGCGACGUAGUCCAUGAUUCCCUCUCCGGUUGCUUUAUCUGAAAGCUGUUGAACGCCACCGAAGGUGAUUGCUAUGGCCAAGAAGGCGGCCGUUGACGCAAACAGUGGCCAGAAAUAAGCUACUAUGUCGAGAAUUCUGGGUGCUGCGUACACGAGGGAUACAACAAGUAGGCUCACGAUGAUUGCGACCAUGAAAUCGAGUUUGUACUCCAUCAGCCUUGUUUGAAUCUCCAUUUCUUGUUGAUAGGGGAGAGAGAAAGAGCGAGGGAGAAUAUAACCAAAACUCUGAUGAUUGCAACUUGCCAGGAAGGAGAUAUGGGGUUUUAAUGUCAAAAAGUAUGUAGCUUUGGCUUUGUUGAUCAACGCAUGUUCUCAAGUCAUGUUCCUUAGAGCAGGUUUAUCGCAGUGGCUUAAAUGAAUUGCUUAAGGCUAAUUGCAAUUAAAAUAAAUGAUAAAAGGAAAAAAAGAGAAAAGGUGUUGCUUAAUUUGGCACGGGAAGCUUCGUUGCAUCUUUGCCAGGUGUCGCACCGGGACAGGCUGGAGAAGAGGUGACCGUCGUGUUCAUCGCAUUUUCUCUUUUCCUUCAUUUCUCUCUCUCUUUUUCUCUCCUCGCUAUGGCGAAAGGCGAAAUCCGAUGCGAUCGAUGGGACUGUUCGACGCCACGGCUGCGUCUCAGUGGGUGGCUGUCGUCGACGACGGCAAACGACAGCCUCUCUAUCUGUUACUCUCCUCCACCAAGGAAAACGGUGACAUCUCUCUCCGUUUCCUUCCUCUCCUUGGCGAAAGGGGAGAUCUCUCCCGAUCGGUGGUUCUGUUGGACGAUCAGACGACGUCUCCGUCGGUGGCUGUCGUUGAGGAAGGGCCACGGCGAUCUCCCUAUCUGUCUCUUUCCUCUCCUUGGCGGAAUUGUUGCGAGCUCUAUCUCAGGCGAAUCGAAGGUAAAGAUUUGUUAAUAUGAUGCAUGUAUUUGAUUUUGAUUAUGCAUGUAUUUGAUUUAGAUUUUCUCGAACAGAUCGAGAAUUUUAAUAUGAGGAACAUGAUAAAUUUGGAUUUGAUUUUUUUUCUGUCAUGUUCUUGUGAGAUGGAAUGAUCAAGAGCCAGACGAUUCUUCAUUCAAAAGGCAGAAGAUCAAGGGUUACAUGUUAAAGGUUGUUGGAUCAAGAUGCAGUGGCAAGGUUCGUGAGACAAAAGCCCUACGCUUGUUGAUAGAGUAUCACGGGAGUGGCGACUUGGAAAAGAACAGGAGAGAGUGGAGAGUGGAGAGGCAGACAAGACCACGCGAGAGUGGAGCAUUGUAUCACGGGAGUUGUUCUGUUUAUAUUGUCUUGUUCCUGUUUUGUAUUAUCUUGUUCGUGUUGUGCAUUUGGUCACGGAACUUGUACUAAUGCAUUGUUUUGGUCACGAGAAUGCAUUGAUAUGUAUUUGGUCACGAGUCUUUGUAAGACUUAUAAAAUGUAUCUAUCUAUCACUUUCUCAUUAUCACCAUUCUUGCAAGUUAUAAACAAUACACUCUCUUGCUUCAUUCUCUCAAUUCUCUUCAUCAAAACAAUCCAUUCUCACUCUCAAUUCUCUUGAUUCAACAAUCCAUUCUCAUUAUCGUUGAUUAAACAAUCCGUUUCUCAAGUUAUAAACAAUCAAUUUCCUUUAUCUCAUGGCAUCUUCCUCUCAUAACAAUUUCGAAGACUCUAGUUAUGAUUUGAAGUGCUCGAUCAAUAUUUUGAUUAUCAAUUCGGUGAAGCAUUUGAGAAUUUGUGCAAUACUUUUGGUGAUCAAACAGAAGAAAAGAAGACAAGAAAAAAAGAGUUUUUAUCAAAAGAAACCGUGAAGAAGCUCAUCUCCGAUUAUGGAAUGAUUAUUUUAGUGACGCUCCAACGUAUCCAGAAAACCUAUUCCGGCGACGAUUUCGUAUGAACAAACCAAUGUUUAUACAUAUUGUUGAUCGUCUCUCAAAUGAAGUUCAAUUCUUUCGUCGGAAGAAGGACGGUCUCGGAAGGCUUGGUCUCUCUACACUUCAGAAGUGUACGGCAGCUAUUCGUGUGUUGGCAUAUGGUUCUGCGCUUGAUGCGGACGAAUACCUCAGGCUCGGUGCAACCACUACUCGGUUAUGUGUGGAAAAUUUUGUGGAAGCAAUAAUAGAUUUGUUCGGAGAUCAGUACCUAAGAAGACCAACACAAGAUGAUCUUCAACGUCUACUUCAUAUUGGAGAGCUUCGUGGGUUUCCCAGGAUGAUAGGAAGCAUCGAUUGUAUGCAUUGGGAGUGGAAGAAUUGUCCCACCGCUGGGAAAGGGCAAUAUUCUCAUGGUUCUGGAAAACCGACUAUCGUUUUAGAGGCGGGUGCUUCAUAUGAUCUUUGGAUAUGGCAUGCGUGUUUUGGACCUCCAGGUACCUUAAAUGAUAUCAAUGUUCUUGAUCGCUCACCUGUUUUUGAUGACAUAAUAAAUGGUCAAGCUCCGCAAGUAAAUUUCACGGCCAACGGAAGAGAGUAUCAUUUGGCUUACUAUCUCACCGAUGACAAUUUAUCCGAAAUGGGAAACUUUUAUCCAAUCUAUUCCAAUUCCACAAGGGCCUAAAGCAGUUUUAUUUGCUCAACGUCAAGAAG